This 796-nucleotide ribosomal RNA is filed under the name Placopsis sp. Muggia NZ8. Its description in RNAcentral is "SSU rRNA". It matches the Rfam family "Eukaryotic small subunit ribosomal RNA", at positions 65 to 868 of the family's 1831-position model. Lineage: Eukaryota; Fungi; Ascomycota; Lecanoromycetes; Trapeliales; Trapeliaceae. The record is from RNAcentral.
AUAAGCAAACUAUACCGUGAAACUGCGAAUGGCUCAUUAAAUCAGUUAUCGUUUAUUUGAUAGUACCUACUUACUUGGAUAACCGUGGUAAUUCUAGAGCUAAUACAUGCUAAAAACCUCGACUUCGGAAGGGGUGUAUUUAUUAGAUAAAAAACCAAUGCCCUUCGGGGCUCCCUGGUGAUUCAUAAUAACUAAACGAAUCGCAUGGCCUUGCGCCGGCGAUGGUUCAUUCAAAUUUCUGCCCUAUCAACUUUCGAUGGUAGGAUAGUGGCCUACCAUGGUGGCAACGGGUAACGGGGAAUUAGGGUUCUAUUCCGGAGAGGGAGCCUGAGAAACGGCUACCACAUCCAAGGAAGGCAGCAGGCGCGCAAAUUACCCAAUCCCGACACGGGGAGGUAGUGACAAUAAAUACUGAUGUGGAGCUCUUUAGGGUUUCACAAUUGGAAUGAGAAAAAUCUAAACCACUUAAACGAGGAACAAUUGGAGGGCAAGUCUGGUGCCAGCAGCCGCGGUAAUUCCAGCUCCAAUAGCGUAUAUUAAAGUUGUUGCAGUUAAAAAGCUCGUAGUUGAACCUUGGGCCUGGCCGGCCGGUCCGCCUCACCGCGUGCACUGGUUCGGCCGGGCCUUUCCUCCUGGGGAACCGCAUGCCCUUCACUGGGUGUGCCGGGGAAUCAGGACUUUUACUUUGAAAAAAUUAGAGUGUUCAAAGCAGGCAUUUGCUCGAAUACAUUAGCAUGGAAUAAUAGAAUAGGACGUUGUGGUUCUAUUUUGUUGGUUUCUAGGACCGCCGUAAUGA